Molecule: ribosomal RNA, 481 nt
Filed under: uncultured bacterium
Lineage: Bacteria
Description: bacterial SSU rRNA
Rfam family: Bacterial small subunit ribosomal RNA
Source: RNAcentral
ACUAGCAGUAAGAGUUUGAUCAUGGCUCAGAACGAACGCUGGCGGCAGGCCUAACACAUGCAAGUCGAACGCAUCCUUCGGGGUGAGUGGCAGACGGGUGAGUAACACGUGGGAACGUGCCUUCGGUUCGGGAUAACCCAGGGAAACUUGGGCUAAUACCGGAUACGUCCUUUGGGAGAAAGAUUUAUCGCCGGAAGAUCGGCCCGCGUCUGAUUAGCUAGUUGGUGGGGUAAUGGCCCACCAAGGCGACGAUCAGUAGCUGGUCUGAGAGGAUGAUCAGCCACACUGGGACUGAGACACGGCCCAGACUCCUACGGGAGGCAGCAGUGGGGAAUAUUGGACAAUGGGCGCAAGCCUGAUCCAGCCAUGCCGCGUGAGUGAUGAAGGCCCUAGGGUUGUAAAGCUCUUUCGGCGGGGACGAUAAUGACGGUACCCGCAGAAGAAGCCCCGGCUAACUUCGUGCCAGCCGCCGCGGUAAUUC